UUUCUUGGAGAGUUUGAUCCUGGCUCAGGACGAACGCUGGCGGCGUGCCUAAUACAUGCAAGUCGA
Molecule: ribosomal RNA, 66 nt
Filed under: Neobacillus niacini
Lineage: Bacteria; Bacillati; Bacillota; Bacilli; Caryophanales; Bacillaceae
Description: Bacillus niacini partial 16S ribosomal RNA
Rfam family: Bacterial small subunit ribosomal RNA
Source: RNAcentral